Molecule: ribosomal RNA, 213 nt
Filed under: uncultured bacterium
Lineage: Bacteria
Description: partial 16S ribosomal RNA
Rfam family: Bacterial small subunit ribosomal RNA
Source: RNAcentral
UACGAAGGGGGCUAGCGUUGUUCGGAAUCACUGGGCGUAAAAGCGCCACGUAGGCGGAUCUUUAAGUCAGGGGUGAAAUCCCGAGGCUCAACCUCGGAACUGCCUUUGAUACUGGGGAUCUCGAGUCCGGGAGAGGUGAGUGGAACUGCGAGUGUAGAGGUGAAAUUCGUAGAUAUUCGCAAGAACACCAGUGGCGAAGGCGGCUCACUGGCC